Micropterus dolomieu (smallmouth bass) is the source of this 1223-nucleotide long non-coding RNA. RefSeq lists it as uncharacterized. NCBI's taxonomy places the organism in Eukaryota, Metazoa, Chordata, Actinopteri, Centrarchiformes, Centrarchidae. The record is from RefSeq and is a predicted model, not a curated record. The transcript has 2 exons.
CCCAGCAAUGUCAGCACAGCUAAAUUUACUGGAUGAAAUGAGUCAUUAGCAGAAAGCCAUUUUAUCCCCAGUAGCAUGACUGUCCAGUCCCUCUCCUCCCAACCACUCCUCAUCCAGCUCCCCCAGAAUCUCUUGAAGGGACAGCUCAGGUAGGGGGGUGUGCUGGACGAGUGCUGGAUGUCCGGACUUCCCACAGCCUUCCAGAGCGGCCCUGCUCCAUGAAUCUCCCACCUGCGAGUACUGACCUUCUGGAGGUGGGCUGUUCUCCAGACUGGCAUCCCAGUAACCAGAAUCUGGAGUGUCUGGAGUUGAGGAGUGGGAGGUGGAGCAGGGAAUGUACAUCUGCUGCUCUGCUGAUCCAGGAUACAUGAAGGCUGCCUGACUGGACAUUGAGCUGUAGUUUCUCAUCUCAAGGGGAGAGUGGCACCACACAGGCGGGACAGGGGAGGUUUGGGCACCUGACUGGGACCAGAAGCCCCUCAAGGGUGGGCUGGAGCUACUUGCCAACGGUCUGCCCUGCUGGAGUCCAUACAUGGAGCCGUAGUGUCUGUGCUCCUCAAUGGUGGAGUAGGAUGGAGGACACUGUCCAUAGUAGCAGGCUUCCUCCAUCUCCUCCUUCACUGGGGUUGGGUAGGCUGGUGGAGGGCCCUGAGGUGGCAGAUGGGCUGAGCCAACCUGUGGGCCCCUGCUAGCUACAGCAUGAGGUGGAGGUGGAGCAUCACGGACCGGGCUAUCAGACUGCCACAGCGCUUUUUUUGCUCCUUUGCACUUCAGGGUGCGAGCUCUUCUGUUCUGAAACCACACCUGGACAGGAAAGAAAGAAAACAGGAGCUUAGAUUCAGGCCAGAUAAACAACAGAUUCUGUCCAGUUAAUCAUUUUCUGGGUAAACAGGCACCAGUGUAUUUGGGGGUGCGGGGGGACAGAUCUAGUAGAUGUCAGCUGUCAGAGCCUGUUGUACAGUCUAUCAGUUCAAACAAGAUCCUGAUAAAAACAGCUUGUGUCAUCUUUAAAGAUAAAGAAAUAAAGCGAUAGUGUGAUAGCGGUAUCUACAAUUCUAUGCAGGAUACAUUUGAAAACAGAGCCCUUUUAUGAUAAGAAACCUCAGCAGAAAAUGCCUUACAACACAACUAUAUCUCUGUGUCCUACUUAUGCUUAUGUGAAAAGCAUGCAUGUGUGUCAUCUUGGAAUGACACCAAUUUCCAAAUAAACAUUUCCAAACUUA